Molecule: ribosomal RNA, 438 nt
Filed under: uncultured bacterium
Lineage: Bacteria
Description: partial 16S ribosomal RNA
Rfam family: Bacterial small subunit ribosomal RNA
Source: RNAcentral
CUACGGGAGGCAGCAGUGGGGAAUAUUGCACAAUGGGGGAAACCCUGAUGCAGCGAUGCCGCGUGAACGAAGAAGGCUUUCGAGUCGUAAAGUUCUGUUCUUAGGGAAGAAAAUGACGGUACCUAAGGAGAAAGCACCGGCUAAAUACGUGCCAGCAGCCGCGGUAAUACGUAUGGUGCAAGCGUUGUCCGGAAUUACUGGGCGUAAAGGGUUCGUAGGCGGUCAAAUAAGUCAGGAGUGAAAGGCUACGGCUCAACCGUAGUGAGCUUUUGAAACUGUUUGACUUGAGUACUGGAGAGGAAAGUGGAAUUCCUAGUGUAGCGGUGAAAUGCGUAGAUAUUAGGAGGAACACCAGUGGCGAAGGCGGCUUUCUGGACAGUAACUGACGCUGAGGAACGAAAGCGUGGGGAGCAAACAGGAUUAGAUACCCCGGUAGUC